This 63-nucleotide ribosomal RNA is filed under the name uncultured bacterium. RNAcentral describes it as "partial 16S ribosomal RNA". The record is from RNAcentral.
AGGUCUCGACCCUAACCGACGAAGGGGGGGCGCCUACCACGGUGAGCUUCAUGACUGGGGGUG